This 468-nucleotide ribosomal RNA is filed under the name uncultured bacterium. RNAcentral's name for it is "partial 16S ribosomal RNA". It matches the Rfam family "Bacterial small subunit ribosomal RNA", at positions 28 to 507 of the family's 1533-position model. The record is from RNAcentral.
GACGAACGCUGGCGGCGUGCUUAACACAUGCAAGUCGAACGGAAAGGCCCUGCUUUUGUUGGGUGCUCGAAUGGCGAACGGGUGAGUAACACGUGAGUGACCUGCCCUUGACUUUAGGAUAACUUCAGGAAACUUGGGCUAAUAACGGAUAGGAACUCCUGCUGCAUGGUGGUGGUUGGAAAGUUUCGGCGGUUGGGGAUGGACGCGCGGCUUAUCAGCUUGUUGGUGGUGUAGUGGCUUACCAAGGCUUUGCUGGGUAGCCGGCCUGAGAGGGUGACCGGCCACAUUGGGACUGAGAUACGGCCCAGACUCCUCCGGGCGGCAGCAGUGGGGAAUAUUGCACAAUGGGCGGAAGCCUGAUGCAGCAACGCCGCGUGCGGGAUGACGGCCUUCGGGUUGUAAACCGCUUUCGCCUGUGACGAAGCGUGAGUGACGGUACUGGGUAAAGAAGCACCGGCUAACUACGUG